Molecule: ribosomal RNA, 500 nt
Filed under: uncultured bacterium
Lineage: Bacteria
Description: partial 16S ribosomal RNA
Rfam family: Bacterial small subunit ribosomal RNA
Source: RNAcentral
AUUGAACGCUGGCGGCAUGCCUUACACAUGCAAGUCGAACGGCAGCACGGGAGCAAUCCUGGUGGCGAGUGGCGAACGGGUGAGUAAAGUAUCGGAACGUGCCCAGUCGUGGGGGAUAACGUAGCGAAAGUUACGCUAAUACCGCAUACGAUCUACGGAUGAAAGCGGGGGAUCGCAAGACCUCGCGCGAUUGGAGCGGCUGAUAUCAGAUUAGGUAGUUGGUGGGGUAAAGGCUCACCAAGCCGACGAUCUGUAGCUGGUCUGAGAGGACGGCCAGCCACACUGGGACUGAGACACGGCCCAGACUCCUACGGGAGGCAGCAGUGGGGAAUUUUGGUCAAUGGGCGCAAGCCUGAUUCAGCCAUGCCGCGCGCAGGAUGAAGGCCUUCGGGUUGUAAACUGCUUUUGUACGGAACGAAAAGGUUUGGCCUAAUAAGCUGGACCCAUGACGGUACCGUAAGAAUAAGCACCGGCUAACUACGUGCCAGCCGCCGCGGUAA